GACGUAGGUGGCAAGCGUUGUUCGGAAUCACUGGGCAUAAAGCGCGUGUAGGCGGCCGGGUAAGUCGGGUGUGAAAUCCCUCAGCUCAACUGAGGAACUGCGCCCGAUACUGCUUGGCUUGAGGACCGGAGGGGAGAGUGGAAUUCCCGGUGGAGCGGUGAAAUGCGUAGAGAUCGGGAAGAACGCCGGCGGCGAAAGCGACUCUCUGGUCGGUUCCUGACGCUGAGACGCGAAAGCUAGGGGAGCAAACGGG
Molecule: unclassified non-coding RNA, 253 nt
Filed under: uncultured Planctomycetota bacterium
Lineage: Bacteria; Pseudomonadati; Planctomycetota
Description: uncultured planctomycete contains 16S-23S intergenic spacer region
Rfam family: Bacterial small subunit ribosomal RNA
Source: RNAcentral